AUUAAAUGGCUGAUUUGAUAUGCAUACACUUCAUUCAAUGGAAUAAAUCUGUCGGUUUUGAUUUUGCCUCAGUCUCUAGUGAUAUAUCAGCAAGAUGUGGACAGAGAAUGGGAAGCUUUAAUGAACACCACAGAAAUAUUCCUUCACCAGUCGUAUGGCUAUGCACAUGUGAGAGGGACACAGGAGGAGACAGGGAUGCUGACCACAGGCUCCUUGCAGUAGGUGGACUCAGGGGCCAGACUGUAAUGGCAGUGAUGGACAUGGAUUCACAGGGAGAAAGGCAUCCCAGAAGCAGAAGAAUUAGUCAAGCAGAGGCACAGAAGCAAGAGUUAGUUGUGUGCAGGGACUGGCAAGCAGGCUGGCUCGGCUGAGAUAAAGGAAAAAAAAAAAAACAACUCAAAAGAGAUGCGGUAUAAAAGAGGAUUUGAAUGGAGACCUUGAAUCCUAGGCUGACAAGUCUGGACUUGAGUACAAAGAUAUAUUUUAACAUUUUCCUGAGCCACCGUUUGCCUAGGCUGCAUGACAUACCAAUUCUUAUGGAAGGACUCAGUGCUCACCAUCCUCGAAAACCUGAUUCAAAACCUAUCUUGCCAUUCUUGCGUGCUCCUAAAAGAAGAGAAAAAGGCCUCCAGUUAGAGGCCAUCAACAAAAAUGCUGAAUGGGUCAUCGUAUUUCCUAAAAGUCAAGAACAAAGAAGACCCAGACAAGGCUUCUGAGAACUAUGGAGACGUAUCCAGAUGCCACACUGAAAAUACAAUUCCACCACCCAUCCAUUAUUUGCUCAGGCAUAUAACAAGACAUCUCUUUUCACUGGUUUCUCUUCUGCCACCUGUUAAAUUAGAAAAACAACUAGUCUUAUAAAUGAAUAAAGGUGCUUAUUAUAGAUACAUACCACUUCCCAAGCAAAGAAAAUCAGGCCUUAGAAGAAAGUAUAAGGGAAGGUAGAUGUAUUAACUAUGUAGAUCAUGCUUAUUUGCCUCUUGAGAGAUGGCUUCUCUCCUCAAAUUCAAUGGAGCUGUAAUUUGAAAAAUCAGGCCUGUAGGCACUUUUAGGAUAUAAUGACAUUUGCACACAUGAUCACAUGCUUCAGGGAAAAAAAUGAAAUCAGGAGGACACACUGGUAAGCUGUGGGCUUAUUGUGGGCACCACAGCAUACAAAGUCACUAUAUGAAUUCCCAGAUUAGGACACAGUUUGAUGGUUUUCUUGGUUCUCUUAAGAGCUUGGUGGAAAUUAAGUCUGUUUUACAUAAGGUAACCUCAAGUCCCCUGGCUGCUAAAAUGAUAUAAUGGUUUGCUCUGAAAUUAGCUACUAAAGUAACACAAUUCUUGCUAUCUGAGUAUAAAAGCAGAAGGCAGAAAUUCAUUCUUACAGAGUAAGAACUCAUUUUUUGCCAUAGAGUAAAACAUUCCAACCCUCCAAAGUCAGUCUAGGGAUUUGGGUUUCAUUUUUUCCUUUAAAAAGACAUUUUUCCCCUGGAUAUUCGGAAGAAUGUAAACAAAAGCCACAGAAAACACAAGUUAGGGCACUGAAGUAUAGCGUAGCACUCUCUUAUGGGAAAAAUGCCAGUGUGCUGUGGCAGAAGGCAGAUGAACACUGUCUCUUCUCCCGCUCCCCACUUCAAACCAGAGUCUCAUGUAGUUUCCCUACCCAGAAAGGAAGAGAAAACAAAUAAUAGCCAUUGUGACAACAAAGACGUGAGAUUUCAUAAAAUAGAUUACUUUUGGUGGAACAAAUACCUGACACCUUUCAACCUCAAAUAGUACAGUCUGAGACGCCACAGUCCAGGUUUCAAUCUUAACGCUAUGAAAUUCUGGAGUUAGUUUUAUUUCAUUCCAAAACUUGGAGUCUUAAGAUGCUUUAAGAACACUAAUUGUGGUGGACAUUUUAUUGGGUAAUUAUAUUUAUCAUGAUCUCCUCCACCUUGUCUCUGCUCCUCUGUCCCAUUUUGUAGCACUCCAAUCUUGUGACUUCCAAUUAGGUGACAAGAAGUGUCUAAAUUCUUAUCUGUGGUAUUUCAUCAUAAAUUUUGUAUAAGACUAUUAUAUGAACUGACAACAGCUAUGGGCCUGGAGACAAAAGGAUUAAGACACACUAAAAAGGUAUGGACAAAUGAACACAGGUAUAAAACCUGAACUGUAUUUCAAGUCUUUUGCUCUUUCUUCAAAUUUUUGCUACCUUUGGCCAACAUCAACAGUACUAGGUCAUUUAACAAAAAAGAUCCAUUAAAACUUAAUUCGGCUAUAUGAAAAUUAACUUCAAUCUACAAUGUGUGGCUUAAAUUCAUUCAAAGCAUUGUGGUUAAAAAAGGAACUCUAAAGUCAACCUACAGGAGUUGGACAGGUAACAUAAGUGAAUAGGAUAAUCUGUCAAACCAAAGGAGCUUAUACCUCGUAGGAAGGAAACCACAGCUACUCAAUUCCAUCAACUGGUUGUCACGUAGAAUGCAGGCCCUAUGUAACCAGAACUUCCAGUUUUUCAAAAGAAGUUAGAAAUCAAGAUUUUCAUCUAAAUAUCUAUGGGAUAUGUUAACAGAACUUCCAUUUUUUCAAAAGAAGUUAGAAAUCAAGAUUUUCAUCUAAAAUAUCUGAAUUCUAAAUGUUGCUAAGUAAUUAAAUUAUUUUAAGAACACUGUGUAAAACAAGCAAAACCACAAACCAAAUAACCAAUAGGACAUGGAGCAAGCCAAACAAAACAUACUUGUGGGCUAAAUCUAGACAAUUUGCAACCCCUACGAAAGGGAUCAGGGUUUUUAGGAAAGGGCAUUUUGUAAGCCAAGACCAGGAAAGAAGGGGACAGGCGGGUGGGAAAGGAGAUGUUAUAUGUGAAUGAAACUAAAACAACUUUCCAGGGGGAAAAACCCAGAAUACACUGCUCCCCCAAAAAACAAUAUAAAGAACAAAAUGGAAAUUUACCAUAUCUGAAUUUUCUUGAAUUCUAUUCCCUGGCUCCCAUUCCUCAACUAGAUGUAGAAGCUUGACGAGGAAAGGGAACUCAAUUUUCUUGGUAUCCUAAUGCUGAGGAGGGGCUGACUAACUCAAAAAAUUCAUUCAUUCAACAAAAAUUUACUGACUGCCUACUGUGUGCUGGGCACUAUUCUGGGGACAUCUACAUGAACAAAAACAGACCAAAAAACAAAAAAACAAAAACUCCUCUUCCCUCUUGGAGCUUACUUUUUGGAGGAGAAAACAGACUUAAUAAGUAAGUUAUAUGGAAUGUCAGAAGGUGAAUAGCACUGUGAGAAAAAAAGAGCAAUGUAAGAAGUAUGAUAUGGAGUGGUAAAGGCAGGAGUGCAGCAACUGUUAACAAGGGCACAGAACAGGUGAUACCUGAGUAAAGACUUGAAGGUGGUGAGGGAAUGAGAGCGAUAUGACAGCUAUCUGGAGGACAGGCAUUCCAGGCAGAAGGAACAGCAGUCAACAGAAAGGCCUCAGGCAGGAGUGUGUCUGCAGUGCCUGACACAUAGUAAAGAGGUCAGUGUGGCAAUAGUAUAGCAAGAAAGGGUGCAAGUAUACCACUGCGAGGACGUCUGAACAGUUGACUAGUCUGAUUUACAUAUUAAAAGGAUCCCACUAACAGCUGUUUUGAGAACAAAAUGAAGAGGAACAAAGGUAGAAGCAACAAGACCAGUGAGAAGGCUUUGAGAAUGAUCCUGGAGAGAGAGAUUUUAGCUUGGACCAGAGUGGUAGCAGCGAUGACAAAUAAAAAGGGUAAUUAGAUUCAGAAUGUAUUAUGAAGAUAGGACCAGAACUACCUGACAGAUGUAUGUGAAUAUUUACCAAUUUAGAAUGAAUCAAAUGGAUUUUUCUGUUUUCAGGAAUAUCGGGGUAUACACAGAUACAUUUUCUUUCUUUUGUUUUCUGUUUUGGUUAUAUCAAAGAAAAAUAAUAGAUGCUCUGAGAACAGGGAAGCUAUCUGAAGGGCAAACUUAUUUCUCUCUUUGAUUGGCUUUGAAACAGAAUAUAGUAGAAGUUAAAAUAAGCUCUGACUUCACACCCAUUAGGAUGGCUAUUACUAAAAAUCCCAAAGACAAGCAACCCCAGAAAAUAAUAAGUGUUGUGAGGAUGUGGAGAAAAGGGAACCCUUGUACACUGCUGGUGGGAAUAUAAAAUGGUGCAGCUGCUAUGUAAAAUAUGGCAGGCUGGCAACAAAAUUAAACACAAGAACUACCUACCAUGUGAUACAACACUUCUGGGUAUAUACGCAAGAGAGCAGAAAGCAGGGACUUGACAGAUAUCGGUAGACACAUGUUCACCAGCAUUAUUCACAACAACCAAAAGGUGUAUAUGUAAUGUAUAUACACACAUGGAAUAUUAUUCAGCUGAAACUUUGACAUGUGCCACAACAUGAACGAAUCUUAAAGACAUUAUUCUAAGUGACACUAGCCAAUAACAAAAGGAGAAAUAUUGUAUAUGAUUCCAUUUAUAGAGAUUCUUAGAUUCCAUAGAGACAGAAAGUAAAAUGGUGCUUACCAGGAGCUAGAAGGAGGGGAAUGUGUACAGAGUUUCAUUGGGGACAAGGAAAAAGUUCUGAAGAGAGAUAGUGGUGAUGGUUGCAUAACAGUGUAAAUGUACUUAAUGCUACAAAUUUGUUCACUUAAAGCUGAUUAAAAUGGCAAAUUUGAUGUUACAUAUUUUAUCCCCAAAGUAAAAAGGCAGAAUGAAGAGCACAAUAAAACUUGCUUUGCCUACCUCAAAAAACAACAAUAAAAUUCCCAAAAACCGCAAGCUCUAGAGUCAGGCUGCCUGACCACUUAACGAACUGUUUGCCCUGGACAAAUUACUCGAUUCAUUGCCUUUAGUUUUCUCAUCUAUAAAAUGAGAUUAAUUAUACCUCAAAGGAUUGUUGUGAAGAUUAUAUAAUAUUUGUCUAGUUCUUAGAAAAGUGCCUGGCACAUAUUAAGCACUCAAUAAAUACCAGCUAUUAUUACUAGCGUUAGGGAGCCACUUGUGGAGAAAUAGGCAACACAGAAGGCCUCAGAUGAUCCAGGAGGUAAGUUACUCUAUUCAGUCAAAUCCUUACUAUGGAGAUGCAUGUGUAAUCUUCAUUAACUAAAAAAACCAUGCAACAAAUAGGUGGUUUUGUGGCGUGUGCUUUAAAUUCAGAUAUAUUUUGAAGAGAUACCAGUUUCUGAAAAUGUCUCAAGUAAUUUAAGAAUUACCAUAUAAAUGAUACACUGAUUCUCCAUAAAAGAAAUAGGGUAAAUUAUGAAAGCACAACCUAAUUCAGGUUUUCACAUUACAUUUGCAAUAGAAAGAACCAGUGUAAUAUGGUGUCAUUCUUUCAUUUACUUAUCUGAUAUUUACUAUGUAUCUACCAUGUAUUAGCCACAUAAAUUUAUACAUACUGAAUAUAUAUACAUACAGGAAUACCAAAUUGCAUCUAGGCAAUAAAACAAAAAAGACCUCAAAAUGCCUUUUUAAAUUAUAGUGCUUUUUAAAUGUUUCCCAUGUCAGGCCGUUUGAUUAAGAGUAAUAACCUUGACAUAAAGGAUAUAGAAAACUGACGAUUGUGAAUCCAUAGCAAAUAAACACUGGAGCAAAACUCAGUACUGUAGUUAAGCUAAUAUACUGGCCUCUUUUACCUCUGGUCUUUUAGAACUCUGAAUUUAGAUACGUUUUAUGACUGCUUACAGUAACAGGUUCUAGUUCCCAGAAAUGCUAUUUUACAUAAAUACAUCAUCACAGCCCAAAUUGGGCAAAGAGAAAAAUCUUCAUGUCCUGGUUUCUGGGUCACUUACUUCAAUAAAUAUUUAAUAUUAAAAAUAAAUAAAUUUAUAAAGCCCAAUAUAAUGAGACAACUAUAAAAAGACUUGACUGAAGCAGCAUAGCAAAAUCUUGACAAAUAAAAGAAAAAGUAUCUUGCCUUGUGCUGAAGAAACUGUUUAUACAGCUGGUGGCAUAGCUACAGCUGAGAAAAAUAUGGUCAAGAAGGAAACACCCCUGAGUUUAUUAGUACAAUGGUUUUAAGCUUUUCGAUCUGAUUAUGAACUGGUGUGGUGUGUUAAGUGUGCAAGGAGGCUCCCUAGGGUUCUGCUCACUUUUGACCAUCUGUUCCUCCUAUCCCUCCACAAAGCAGCCUUUUAAAGAUACCUCUUUGGGCCUCUAGAUGCCUAUGCACCCUGUGAAAGCCACUCAUCUAAAAGGAGCCAAAUGUCAUUAGACACACAUCUUUCAGUUGAUGUCUAGAAUAAUGUAUAAACCAUACCAGCCAGUUAUAUCACCUUUACAGUCAAGGGACCUCCAUUCUCAGAGGCAUUAAAGAAACAGGUAUAAAGGUUAGAAUUUAGAAAUUUGGUUUCCCUUUGACACAGGACUAAAGUUUAUCUGAAAACUUUCAACAAACCUGGCUAGACAUACACCAAAAAUUUAUGUGGCAUGUAACUCAAUUCUAUGAGUAUAUUUUCUCUAAGUGUGCUAAUUGCAGAAAGCCAUUUCCAGUCCAUUAAAUACAUUUAUUUUGACACAAAAAGCUUUGUUGUGAUAUUAACUGUCUCCCAUAGCCUGAAUGUAAGCUCCAUACAAUUCUUGGUUUCAGAUUCCAGUAAAGGAUUACAGGUUACCUUGGUGCAUUAAUCAGAAUCCACUUAAAGUUUUGACAAUGGGACUAGAGCCAACUGGAUGAAGAGUAAGUUCUCUGCUUCUGCCAAUAGUAGCAACUGUUGUGAAUAAAUGCAUCACAAGAAAAGCAGACUGA
RNAcentral lists this long non-coding RNA (6694 nucleotides) under Homo sapiens (human). RNAcentral describes it as "HSALNT0370325". Lineage: Eukaryota; Metazoa; Chordata; Mammalia; Primates; Hominidae. The record is from RNAcentral.